This 437-nucleotide ribosomal RNA is filed under the name uncultured bacterium. RNAcentral describes it as "partial 16S ribosomal RNA". It matches the Rfam family "Bacterial small subunit ribosomal RNA", at positions 28 to 507 of the family's 1533-position model. The record is from RNAcentral.
GAUGAACGCUGGCGGCAUGCCUAACACAUGCAAGUCGGACGGGCAGUGGUGUUUCCUGUGGCGGACGGGUGAGCAACGCGUAAGAACCUGCCCUUGGGAGGGGAACAAUAGCUGGAAACGGCUGCUAAUACACCGUAGGCCGAGGAGCAAAAGGAGGAAUCCGCCAGAGGGGGGGCUCGCGUCUGAUUAGCUAGUUGGUGAGUCAAUAGCUUACCACGGCGCUGAUCAGUAGCUGGUCCGAGAGGAAGAUCAGCCACACUGGGACUGAGACACGGCCCAGGCUCCUUCGGGAGGCAGCAGUGGGGAAGACGCCGCAAUGCGCGAAGGGCUGACGAGGCAAUGCCGCGGGGAAGUAGAAGUCUUACGGAACGUGAACUUCGUUUCCCGGAGAAGAAGCAAUGACGGUAUCUGGGGAAAAAGCAACGGCUAACUCUGUG